Molecule: ribosomal RNA, 1468 nt
Filed under: Betaproteobacteria bacterium
Lineage: Bacteria; Pseudomonadati; Pseudomonadota; Betaproteobacteria
Description: partial 23S ribosomal RNA
Rfam family: Bacterial large subunit ribosomal RNA
Source: RNAcentral
GGUCAAGUGAAUAAGUGCAUGUGGUGGAUGCCUUGGCGAUCACAGGCGAUGAAGGACGUUGUAGCCUGCGUUAUGCUGCGGGGAGCUGGCAAACAAGCUUUGAUCCGCAGAUUUCCGAAUGGGGAAACCCAGCUGGAGUAAUGUCCAGUUAUUUCUAUCUGAAUAUAUAGGGUAGAUAAAGGGAACGUGGGGAAGUGAAACAUCUCAGUACCCACAGGAAGAGAAAACAACCGUGAUUCCGUUAGUAGUGGCGAGCGAAAGCGGAAGAGGCCAAACCAAUACUGUGCCAAGCCGGCAGGCGUUGCAGUAUUGGGGUUGUGGGACCAGUUAGAAGCGACUGCCGUUGCUUCAAUGAGUCAGAAAUUAAUUGUGUAGGUGAAUGGCGUGGGAAAGCCAGACACAGAGGGUGAGAUCCCCGUAGCCGAAACACUUUUAACUCAUUAUUGGUAUCCCAAGUAAUACCGGACUCGAGGAAUCCGGUAUGAAUCUGGCGGGACCACCCGCUAAGCCUAAAUACUCUCUGAUGACCGAUAGCGGACUAGUACCGUGAGGGAAAGGUGAAAAGAACCCCGAAAGGGGAGUGAAAUAGAAUCUGAAACCGUGUGCGUACAAGCCGUUGGAGCUACCUUGAGUAGUGACAGCGUGCCUUUUGAAGAAUGAGUCUACGAGUUAGUGUCAUGUAGCGAGGUUAACCCGUCGAGGGGAAGCCGUAGCGAAAGCGAGUCUGAAUAGGGCGAAUGAGUUGCAUGAUCUAGACCCGAAGCGAGGUGAUCUACGCAUGGCCAGGUUGAAGCGCGGGUAAGACCGCGUGGAGGACCGAACCCACUAAUGUUGAAAAAUUAGGGGAUGAGCUGUGUGUAGGGGUGAAAGGCCAAUCAAACUUCGUGAUAGCUGGUUCUCUCCGAAAUGCAUUUAGGUGCAGCGUCACGUGUUUCUUACCGGAGGUAGAGCUACUGGAUGGUCGAGGGGGCCUACAAGCUUACCAACAUCAGCCAAACUCCGAAUGCCGGUAAGUGAGAGCGUGGCAGUGAGACUGUGGGGGAUAAGCUUCAUAGUCGAGAGGGAAACAACCCAGAAUAGCAACUAAGGUCCCAAAGCCUGUGCUAAGUGGAAAAGGAUGUGGAGUCGUAUAGACAACCAGGAUGUUGGCUUAGAAGCAGCCACCAUUUAAAGAGUGCGUAAUAGCUCACUGGUCAAAUGAUUCCGCGCCGACAAUGUAACGGGGCUCAAGCACAGCACCGAAGUUCUAUCAUUCACACAUUAUCCCGGUCGCAAGAUCCAGGAGUGUGGAUGGGUAGGAGAGCGUUGUGUGGCUGGUGAAGCGGCGGAGGAAUCCAGCCGUGGAAGCCACACAAGUGAGAAUGUAGACAUGAGUAGCGAGAGAAGUGUGAGAAACAUUUCCGCCGAAAGACCAAGGGUUCCUGGGCCAGGCUAAUCCGCCCAGGGUAAGUCGGGACCUAAGGCGAGG